AACGCAUAUUGCGCUUCCUGGUAUUCCGGGAAGCAUGCCCGUUUCAGAAUCAAUAAAAACCCUCACCGAACCGGGUUGGCUUUUGGGCUUUCUCGGCCAGGUGGAUUUGGAUUUUUGCGGUAGCAAUCGUCUCAAAAUCAUUGUAUGUACACCAAACGAUUUCUUUUGGUUGUCCAAAGUGCAACAGAGCAAUCUAUUCGCUUAGACGGCUGAUCGACGUCUUGGACGUGCGUGCUCCUCACCAUAUUACGGACUACAGAUCGGUAUGAUCUGGAAAUCUGAGAACUUGAUCUGAAAUCGGGCAGGAAAACCCGCUGAACUUAA
RNAcentral lists this unclassified non-coding RNA (324 nucleotides) under uncultured Spizellomycetales. RNAcentral describes it as "sequence contains 5.8S rRNA gene, ITS2, 28S rRNA gene". Lineage: Eukaryota; Fungi; Chytridiomycota; Chytridiomycetes; Spizellomycetales. The record is from RNAcentral.